GAGUUGCGAACGGGUGAGUAACGCGUAGGUAACCUGCCUGGUAGCGGGGGAUAACUAUUGGAAACGAUAGCUAAUACCGCAUAAAAGUCGAUAUCGCAUGAUAUUGAUUUGAAAGGUGCAAUUGCAUCACUACCAGAUGGACCUGCGUUGUAUUAGCUAGUUGGUGGGGUAACGGCUCACCAAGGCGACGAUACAUAGCCGACCUGAGAGGGUGAUCGGCCACACUGGGACUGAGACACGGCCCAGACUCC
This 251-nucleotide ribosomal RNA is filed under the name uncultured Streptococcus sp. Its description in RNAcentral is "partial 16S ribosomal RNA". It matches the Rfam family "Bacterial small subunit ribosomal RNA", at positions 93 to 339 of the family's 1533-position model. Lineage: Bacteria; Bacillati; Bacillota; Bacilli; Lactobacillales; Streptococcaceae. The record is from RNAcentral.